Molecule: ribosomal RNA, 454 nt
Filed under: uncultured bacterium
Lineage: Bacteria
Description: SSU rRNA
Rfam family: Bacterial small subunit ribosomal RNA
Source: RNAcentral
AGAAUCAACGCUGGCGGCGUGCCUAACACAUGCAAGUCGAACGAGAAAGUGGAGCAAUCCAUGAGUAAAGUGGCGCACGGGUGAGUAACACGUGACUAACCUACCCUUGAGUGGGGGAUAACCUAGAGAAAUCUGGGCUAAUACCGCAUAAUACCUUCGGGUCAAAGGAGCAAUUCGCUUAAGGAGGGGGUCGCGGCCGAUUAGUUAGUUGGCGGGGUAAUGGCCCACCAAGACUGUGAUCGGUAUCCGGCCUGAGAGGGCGCACGGACACACUGGAACUGAAACACGGUCCAGACUCCUACGGGAGGCAGCAGUGGGGAAUUUUGCGCAAUGGGGGAACCCUGACGCAGCAACGCCGCGUGGAGGAUGAAGCCCUUGGGGCGUAAACUCCUUUCGAUCGGGAAGAUAAUGACGGUACCGAGAGAAGAGCCCGGCUAACUCGCGCAGCAGCCGC